Molecule: ribosomal RNA, 406 nt
Filed under: uncultured bacterium
Lineage: Bacteria
Description: partial 16S ribosomal RNA
Rfam family: Bacterial small subunit ribosomal RNA
Source: RNAcentral
AUUGAACGCUGGCGGCAGGCCUAACACAUGCAAGUCGAACGAGUGGCGGACGGGUGAGUAAUGUCUGGGAAACCGCCUGAUGGAGGGGGAUAACCUCUGGAAACGGUAGAUAAUACCGCAUAACCACAGGUGUCCCCAUAUGGGAUUAGCUAGUUGGGGGGGUAACGGCACACCAAGGCGACGAUCCCUAGCUGGUCUGAGAGGAUGACCAGCCACACUGGAACUGAGACACGGUCCAGACUCCUACGGGAGGCAGCAGUGGGGAAUAUUGCACAAUGGGCGCAAGCCUGAUGCAGCCAUGCCGCGUGUAUGAAGAAGGCCUUCGGGUUGUAAAGUACUUUCAGCGGGGAGGCGUUACCCGCAGAAGAAGCACCGGCUAACUCCGUGCCAGCAGCCGCGGUAAUAC